Molecule: ribosomal RNA, 467 nt
Filed under: uncultured bacterium
Lineage: Bacteria
Description: partial 16S ribosomal RNA
Rfam family: Bacterial small subunit ribosomal RNA
Source: RNAcentral
ACGAACGCUGGCGGCGUGCUUCACACCUGCAAGUCGCACGGAAAGGCCCUGCUUUUGUGGGGUGCUCGAGUGGCGAACGGGGGAGUAACACGUGAGUAACCUGCCCUUGACUUUGGGAUAACUUCAGGAAACUGGGGCUAAUACCGGAUAGGAGCUCCUGCUGCAUGGUGGGGGUUGGAAAGUUUCGGCGGUUGGGGAUGGACUCGCGGCUUAUCAGCUUGUUGGUGGGGUAGUGGCUUACCAAGGCUUUGACGGGUAGCCGGCCUGAGAGGGUGACCGGCCACAUUGGGACUGAGAUACGGCCCAGACUCCUACGGGAGGCAGCAGUGGGGAAUAUUGCACAAUGGGCGGAAGCCUGAUGCAGCAACGCCGCGUGCGGGAUGACGGCCUUCGGGUUGUAAACCGCUUUCGCCUGUGACGAAGCGUGAGUGACGGUAAUGGGUAAAGAAGCACCGGCUAACUACGUG